RNAcentral lists this ribosomal RNA (445 nucleotides) under uncultured bacterium. RNAcentral describes it as "SSU rRNA". It matches the Rfam family "Bacterial small subunit ribosomal RNA", at positions 26 to 518 of the family's 1533-position model. The record is from RNAcentral.
AGAGCGAACGCUGGCGGCAGGCCUAACACAUGCAAGUCGAGCGCCCCGCAAGGGGAGCGGCAGACGGGAGAGUAACACGUGGGAACGUACCCUUUGGUUCGGAACAACACAGGGAAACUUGUGCUAAUACCGGAUAAGCCCUUACGGGGAAAGAUUUAUUGCCAAAGGAUCGGCCCGCGUCUGAUUAGCUUGUUGGUGAGGUAACGGCUCACCAAGGCUACGAUCAGUAGCUGGUCUGAGAGGAUGAUCAGCCUCACUGGGACUGAGACACGGCCCAGACUCCUACGGGAGGCAGCAGUGGGGAAUAUUGGACAAUGGGCGCAAGCCUGAUCCAGCCAUGCCGCGUGGAUGAUGAAGGCCCUAGGGUUGUAAAGUCCUUUCGGACGGGAAGAUAAUGACGGUACCCGUAGAACGAAGCCCCGGCUAACUUCGUGCCAGCAGCCGC